UACGUAGGGCGCAAGCGUUAUCCGGAAUUACUGGGCGUAAAGCGUGCGCAGGCGGUUUUGUAAGCCAGAUGUGAAAUCCCCGGGCUCAACCUGGGAAUGGCAUUUGGGACUGCAAGGCUGGAGUACGGCAGAGGAGACUGGAAUUCCUGGUGUAGCAGUGAAAUGCGUAGAGAUCAUGAGGAAGACCAGUGGCGAAGGCGGGUCUCUGGACAGUUCCUGACACUGAGGCACGAAGGCCAGGGGAGCAAACGGG
Molecule: ribosomal RNA, 253 nt
Filed under: uncultured bacterium
Lineage: Bacteria
Description: partial 16S ribosomal RNA
Rfam family: Bacterial small subunit ribosomal RNA
Source: RNAcentral